Molecule: transfer RNA, 121 nt
Filed under: Candidatus Woesearchaeota archaeon
Lineage: Archaea; Nanobdellati; Candidatus Woesearchaeota
Description: tRNA-Thr
Source: RNAcentral
GGGCCCAUAGCUCAGUUCGGUAGAGCACUCGACGAGUAAUCGAGUGGUCAGGGGUUCAAAUCAGCUGGUCACGCUCAGCAAAGUGCAUAAGCGUUCGGCUAUGAAAGUCCCCUUGGGCUCA